CAGUUAAUAGAAUACAUGGUUUGGAGACUCGAUGAAAGUACAAUAUAACUCAUUAACUAUGUUGGUUUCGGUUUAUGCAAGAAUUUGGUCCUAUCUCGUCACGUGUGUACUGUAUUUUUUCCCGCACAACCAAUAGCAAUGUUUAAAUUGAGCAUUUGUUCAAGUUACGGAUGGAUAACUCAACCACAAACUUGUUAUUGGUUAUUUGAGCGAAAAUACAAUACACACGUGACGAGAUAGGACCAAAUUCUUGCAUAAAGCCGGACAAUAACAUAGUUAAUGAG
This 284-nucleotide long non-coding RNA is filed under the name Paramuricea clavata. Lineage: Eukaryota; Metazoa; Cnidaria; Anthozoa; Malacalcyonacea; Plexauridae. The record is from RNAcentral.